This 253-nucleotide ribosomal RNA is filed under the name uncultured bacterium. RNAcentral's name for it is "partial 16S ribosomal RNA". It matches the Rfam family "Bacterial small subunit ribosomal RNA", at positions 524 to 776 of the family's 1533-position model. The record is from RNAcentral.
UACGGAGGGUGCAAGCGUUAAUCGGAAUUACUGGGCGUAAAGCGCGCGUAGGCGGUCACGCAAGUCGGAUGUGUAAGCCCCGGGCUCAACCUGGGAAUUGCAUUCGAUACUACGUGGCUUGAGUGUGGUAGAGGGAAGCGGAAUUCCGGGUGUAGCGGUGAAAUGCGUAGAUAUCCGGAGGAACACCAGUGGCGAAGGCGGCUUCCUGGACCAACACUGACGCUGAGGCGCGAAAGCGUGGGUAGCAAACAGG